Molecule: long non-coding RNA, 529 nt
Filed under: Nicotiana benthamiana
Lineage: Eukaryota; Viridiplantae; Streptophyta; Magnoliopsida; Solanales; Solanaceae
Description: long non-coding RNA (NBEN_LNC024948)
Source: RNAcentral
UAAAAUGAGAGGAGAUGUUAAAACAGAGGGGUAGCAUACAACUAUAAAAUGGAGAGAAAAACACUUCUCUUUUAUUUCUCCUUCAAUUAUAGCAAAUAGCUGGCCAUAAAUGAUGACUAAUACUUGAAAGGGAAGCGAUGAAUUUCUCUUUCAUCCACCCUUUCCUCUUUCUUUGUGGAACCAAACAUACUAUUGAUAAAUGAAAUGCAAAUGGAGAACAGCAUUCCUACUAACAUUACCUCCAUUAAACCCUUCUUGUUUGUUACAAGGUACUUUGCUUUCCCGCAUUCAGACAAGUGAUUUAAGACUGCAUGAGCUUCCUUGAAUCCGCCAGAAAGUUCCUCGAACAUUCUCCACGUAAUUACACAUGAAGCUGUCCAGUGGCUUUCGGAUAAUGCUUGGACCAAUUGAAGAGCCUUUUCCUAGUUGUUUUUUUUUGGGCCCCUAGCCUACAACACUGAUUCUAGACCUCCAGACUCCCCUAUCAAGGGUCAUGUCCUCGGAAACCUGCAUUCUAGUCAUGUCCUGC